GGUUUGCCUAUCCAGUAUGUACUCUUCUUCCUUGCUAACAGAAUCUUGAAUUUGCUUGAGAUAAUAGUAAAUAAUUUAAAAUACCUCCAUAAAUGCCCUUCCAGCUAGGGUGGUCAUCUAGUCCAUUGGCCAAUAAACUAGAUCAAAAGCUACUUCAUGGAAAGCUAUUUUUUCCUUGAUACCUAUAUCUUUCUGUAAAGGACUGCUCAGCUGGCAUAAGCUUUCUACUUUUAACCUGUCUUUUCUCUUGUCCAGAUUGUGAUUCAGUGUCAAAGUGGGGCAGUCAUUCGUAAGUGCUGAGCAUUGUGGAGCAGGAGGGGAAAGGGGCCUGUUCUCUCAAGGACCUUCACUAUCCAUUCAUUUCCUACCCCCAGACUCUUGUUAGAUUGGGCUGAUCCAAACUCAUAAUAUGAAUAGAUGGACAUUGACCAAAGAGACCAGCAGCAGAACAAAAGCAUAAACAAACAUGAGAGUAGGCUAAUUUUACCAACCUGAGGUCAAAAAGUUCUCAUGAGAUCUGGUCGUUUGAAAGCAUGUACCACUUCCCUCUUCGCUCACUCUCUCCCUCCCGCUCCACCAUGUGAAGAUUGUGCCUGCUUCUCCUUCACCUUCUGCCAUGAUUGUAAAUUUCCUGAGGCCUCCCCAGCCAUGCCUCCUGUACAGAGACUGUGGAACUGUGA
Homo sapiens (human) is the source of this 680-nucleotide long non-coding RNA. Ensembl annotates it as PFN2 antisense RNA 1. Its record names the gene PFN2-AS1. The record is from Ensembl. Lineage: Eukaryota; Metazoa; Chordata; Mammalia; Primates; Hominidae.